Molecule: non-coding RNA, 1428 nt
Organism: Rattus norvegicus (Norway rat)
Lineage: Eukaryota; Metazoa; Chordata; Mammalia; Rodentia; Muridae
Source: RefSeq, a predicted model, not a curated record
CAGUUUUUCUCCAGAGGACCCUGAGAGUCUGCAACUGCCUCCAGUCCUCUGACCAUGACUGGAAUACACUUCCAUUCCUCCUGUGGGUGUGCACUCAGAGCACCACUGCAGGAAUGACGAUAAAAUCCUGUCUAUCACGGGCCUGUGUUUGUUGAGACUUAGCAGUUGCUGGACAUACAGUCUUUUCAUUUCAACAGUUAAAAUGAAGAGAUGCGGCAGCUGAAGGGACUCAGACCACAAAGUGCCCUGCAUGCUAGAGAGACAACAGAGAAUGUACAGGGCAGACCUGGUCCAUGGAAGGAUCGCACACUGUGGAGGGGUAGACACUUGUCCAAUGGUAGGAAGGUAAGUUCAGGGUACCCAUAACCUACAGUAGGGUGAUUGCUCUAGGUAGACUUUGACUAGAGAGCUGAAAAUAACACAGAAUAGGAAAGACAAGGUUCUGACUUGAGCCAAGCCUUCAGAAGAAGGGAACUUUAAAAAGUGGUACUAGAUGACUGGCAGCUCCCUAGGGGUCUUUCUCUUGGUGAUCCUGAGAAUAUUCUGGAUAGCUUUCUACAAAGCUGCACAAGAACAGAGCUGUGAUGUUUAAGGGAUGGCCUAAGCAUAGUAUGGACAGACCGUGACACACUGGCCCUAUGAAAGGAAGCCAGGAGGUACCUUCUACAUUUGUCCAGGUGAGGGGGGAAUAUAAACUGGCUCAUGGUUACAGGGAAAGGGAUGGCCAUGGUAUAAAUCUCAACAAAUAUGAACAAAGGUUGUAAAAAUGAGGGAAGAGACAAAAUAUGGGGUGUUCCUGCAAAAUUUACUUUCAAAGAGGGAUUUGUAUGUGUAUGUGUAUGUGAUGUGUAUGUGUAUGUGUAUGUGUAUGUGUAUGUGUAUGUGUAUGUGUAUGUGUAUGUGUAUAUGUAUAUCUGUCUCCUGGCUUCCUCUAAACACUGUAUCCACUCCGUUCAUCAGAAGCUGCACAAAGCAAACAGAGCCUGGUAUGUGGUGGUGCAGUUAGAUAAAGUCAAGAGCAGGUGACAACAGAAAGAUUAUUUUCAGGGGACUAGGAGGUAUGUCAGAGGUUAAACACUUGCUGUGAAAUCAUGAGCACUGUGGCAAGAGGGUACCCUUAGGGUAAGACUAGUCAUAGGAACAAGCUUUGGGCUCAACUGAGAAAACCUGCCACAAUGAAUAAUGUGGAGUAGCAGACAGCGACAAUUUCUGACUUCAACCUUAAGCCUGCACACAUGUGUUUGUAUACAUAGAGACAUACACACUCACAUUCAUACACAUAUACAUAUACAUUAAUAUCAUUAAAGUUGUCUUAGAGGCUGGGUGUGGUGCAUGACUCUAAUUCUAGCAUUUACCAGACUGUAAGAAGAGGGUAUCAUGUUUGGGGCUAGCCUGGACUCUGGACAACUUAGGGAGACCCUAUUAAAA